UCCGUUGGUGAACCAGCGGAGGGAUCAUUAU
This 31-nucleotide ribosomal RNA is filed under the name Cosmospora sp. IMI 318025. RNAcentral describes it as "partial 18S ribosomal RNA". The record is from RNAcentral. Lineage: Eukaryota; Fungi; Ascomycota; Sordariomycetes; Hypocreales; Nectriaceae.